UACACAGGUGCUGCAUGGUUGUCGGUCAGCUCGUGUCGUGAGAUGUACGGUUAAGUCCGUGAACGAGCGCAACCCCUGCCCUUAGUUGCUAAUAUGCGAAAGCAUAUGCACUCUAAGGGGACCGCAGCGGAAAGCUGGAGGAAGGUGGGAGUGACGUCAAAUCCUCAUGGCCUUUAUGUCCAGGGCUACACACAUGCGACAAUGGUCGAGACAACGCGUUGCAAACCAGUAAUGGUAAGCUAAUCGCAUAAAAUCGACCUCAGUACGGAUUGAGGGUUGCAAUUCACCCUCAUGAAGCUGGAGUUGCUAGUAACCGCAGGUCAGCUAUACUGCGAUGAAUACGUUCCCGGGGCUU
This 355-nucleotide ribosomal RNA is filed under the name uncultured Caldisericum sp. RNAcentral's name for it is "bacterial SSU rRNA". It matches the Rfam family "Bacterial small subunit ribosomal RNA", at positions 1031 to 1382 of the family's 1533-position model. Lineage: Bacteria; Pseudomonadati; Caldisericota; Caldisericia; Caldisericales; Caldisericaceae. The record is from RNAcentral.